This 301-nucleotide ribosomal RNA is filed under the name uncultured bacterium. RNAcentral describes it as "partial 16S ribosomal RNA". It matches the Rfam family "Bacterial small subunit ribosomal RNA", at positions 509 to 807 of the family's 1533-position model. The record is from RNAcentral.
CAGCCGCCGCGGUAAUGCGAAGGGGGCUAGCGUUGUUCGGAAUUACUGGGCGUAAAGCGCACGUAGGCGGAUUUUUAAGUCAGGGGUGAAAUCCCGAGGCUCAACCUCGGAACUGCCUUUGAUACUGGAGAUCUUGAGUUCGGAAGAGGUUGGUGGAACAGCUAGUGUAGAGGUGAAAUUCGUAGAUAUUAGCUAGAACACCAGUGGCGAAGGCGGCCAACUGGUCCGAUACUGACGCUGAGGUGCGAAAGCGUGGGGAGCAAACAGGAUUAGAUACCCCUGUAGUCCCUGUCUCUUAUAC